RNAcentral lists this ribosomal RNA (459 nucleotides) under uncultured bacterium. Its description in RNAcentral is "partial 16S ribosomal RNA". It matches the Rfam family "Bacterial small subunit ribosomal RNA", at positions 338 to 795 of the family's 1533-position model. The record is from RNAcentral.
CCUACGGGAGGCAGCAGUGAGGAAUAUUGGUCAAUGGUCGGGAGACUGAACCAGCCAAGCCGCGUGAGGGAGGAAGGUACAGAGUAUCGUAAACCUCUUUUGUCAGGGAACAAAGGCGGGGACGUGUCCCCGGAUGAGUGUACCUGAAGAAAAAGCAUCGGCUAACUCCGUGCCAGCAGCCGCGGUAAUACGGAGGAUGCGAGGGUUAUCCGGAUUUAGUGGGUUUAAAGGGUGCGAAGGCGGUCUGUUAAGUCAGCGGUCAAAGCCCGGGGCACAACCCCGGCCCGCCGUUGAAACUGGCAGUCUCGAGUUGGAGAGAAGUAUGCGGAAUGCGCGGUGUAGCGGUGAAAUGCAUAGAUAUCGCGCAGAACUCCGAUUGCGAAGGCAGCAUGCCGGCUCCACACUGACGCUGAGGCACGAAAGCGUGGGUAUCGAACAGGAUUAGAUACCCCAGUAGUC